AACCAGAAGGCGCAAUGAGAGUGAAGGCACGUUCGGCGUGCUGAGGUGAGAGCUGUCGGUGGCAGCGCAUCAUCGACCGAUCCCAUCCGCUCCCCACGGUGCGGAGGGAAUCGAGUAAGAGUGUACCUGUUGCGACCCGAAAGAUGGUGAACUAUGCCUGAAUAGGGUGAAGCCAGAGGAAACUCUGGUGGAGGCCCGUAGCGAUUCUGACGUGCAAAUCGAUCGUCAAAUUUGGGUAUAGGGGCGAAAGACUAAUCGAACCAUCUAGUAGCUGGUUCCCUCCGAAGUUUCCCUCAGGAUAGCUGUAGCCCAAAGCAGUUUUAUCAGGUAAAGCGAAUGAUUAGAGGUAUCGGGGAAGAAACUUCCUCGACCUAUUCUCAAACUUUAAAUAGGUAAGAAGUCCGACUUGCUCAAUCUGAAGCCGGACACAGAAUGCUGGGUUACCAGUGGGCCAUUUUUGGUAAGCAGAACUGGCGAUGCGGGAUGAACCGAACGCCGAGUUAAGGUGCCAAAGUCGACGCUCAUCAGAUCCCACAAA
This 538-nucleotide ribosomal RNA is filed under the name Hyrtios sp. G315552. RNAcentral's name for it is "eukaryotic LSU rRNA". It matches the Rfam family "Eukaryotic large subunit ribosomal RNA", at positions 705 to 1218 of the family's 3401-position model. Lineage: Eukaryota; Metazoa; Porifera; Demospongiae; Dictyoceratida; Thorectidae. RNAcentral also lists the same sequence under 1 other name. The record is from RNAcentral.